UCAGGAUGAACGCUAGCGGCAGGCCUAAUACAUGCAAGUCGAACGGUGAUAGCGAUAUCAUAGUGGCGCACGGGUGCGUAACACGUAUGCAACCUACCUAUUAUUGGGGGAUAGCCUUUGGAAACGGAGAUUAAUACCGCAUAAUACGAUUGACUGGCAUCGGUUGAUGGUUAAAGCUUCGGCGAUAAUAGAUGGGCAUGCGUCCAAUUAGUUAGUUGGUUAGGUAACGGCUGACCAAGACGAUGAUUGGUAGGGGAUCUGAGAGGAUAAUCCCCCACACUGGCACUGAGAUACGGGCCAGACUCCUACGGGAGGCAGCAGUAGGGAAUAUUGGGCAAUGGGCGGAAGCCUGACCCAGCCAUGCCGCGUUCAGGAAGAAGGCGUUAUGCGUUGUAAACUGCUUUUUUAUAGGAAGAAGGAUCCCUUGCGAGGGAAGGUGACGGUACUAUAAGAAUAAGCACCGGCUAACUCCGUGCCAGCAGCCGCGGUAAUACGGAGGGUGCAAGCGUUGUCCGGAUUUAUUGGGUUUAAAGGGUGCGUAG
RNAcentral lists this ribosomal RNA (542 nucleotides) under uncultured bacterium. Its description in RNAcentral is "bacterial SSU rRNA". It matches the Rfam family "Bacterial small subunit ribosomal RNA", at positions 24 to 574 of the family's 1533-position model. The record is from RNAcentral.